GAUGGAGUAAACCAGAGCGAAGCCCUGGCCGUUCUUCAUGUACAGGUCCCUCAUGGCCGUGAACUGCUCCUGUGGAAACACCGGCGGAGCCAAUCAGAAACAAUGCGGCGCUCCUACCUUCCUGUACGAGUCCUCUAUCGUCGGGUCGUAUUUCUCCACAAAGAUUCCCUGAACAAACUGGACCGUCUGCACAGAGAGAGGAAGAGGAGGAGAUGAAGAGCAGCUUCAUCAGGAUGGAAAACAGUUUACUGAUUAAAAAGCAACAUGUCUAAAUGUUUACAGAAAUUCUCAUAGAACUUCAUCAAAUAACACCCAGA
Molecule: long non-coding RNA, 317 nt
Organism: Xiphophorus couchianus (Monterrey platyfish)
Lineage: Eukaryota; Metazoa; Chordata; Actinopteri; Cyprinodontiformes; Poeciliidae
Exons: 3
Source: RefSeq, a predicted model, not a curated record